AGUGUUAGGAUAGUAAAUUAAAAGGUGUUCAUGGACCAGAUCGGGUCCGAUUAGUUGAUAUACUCUACCCGUACCCUAAAAAAGAAUGGUCGGGUCUGGGUAGUUGUUUAUAUACUUCUGAAAAGUUUCCAACUUUCUGAUUUAUCUUUAUGAAAAUUACUAUUUUGUCCUUUCAAAUAUAGCCUUUUAUCAGCACCAGCUUUUCUUAUUUACCCUUUAAGUUACGAGCACAAAAACUAUUUUGCUUUUUGAUCUUUUCAAAUAUGUCCUUCUACAAUCACCAACAUUUCUUAUUUGCCCUUAAGUUCAGGGCAAAAGUGUUAUUUUAUUUUUUUUAACUGUGGUAGAUAUUUAACUCACGUUUAACCCAAAUUAACUUAACGGUUGAUAACUGUAAAGUUAUUUUAAAAUAACGGAGGAACAUAUGAGAGGCAUAUUGAAAAGAAAAAAAAAAAGAUAUUUUCGAAGUUUUGAGGGGUAUAU
This 483-nucleotide long non-coding RNA is filed under the name Ananas comosus (pineapple). Its description in RNAcentral is "long non-coding RNA (ACOM_LNC043085)". Lineage: Eukaryota; Viridiplantae; Streptophyta; Magnoliopsida; Poales; Bromeliaceae. The record is from RNAcentral.